Molecule: non-coding RNA, 1225 nt
Organism: Oryctolagus cuniculus (rabbit)
Lineage: Eukaryota; Metazoa; Chordata; Mammalia; Lagomorpha; Leporidae
Source: RefSeq, a predicted model, not a curated record
CAUAGAAGCCAGGGCCAGAGAAUGGCAGUGCCAUGGAGAAACCAGCAGGCACACCGACUCUCCCUUAGGAAAGAGUGUGCAGACAAGUCAGCAAGUCCCUGGGGAUGUGGCAAACUCUGGAUGCAUCUAGGUCAGCAGUACUCUGCAAGAGGGGCAGGUCACUGGAUAUCUAAUGCAACAGCAGUGGGCACAGCUUGUGUGCAGGGUUUCCAGAGAGUGGCGAUUCCAGGCGUCAGAAGUUCUGAUGUUUCAAGCCCCUGGGGUGUCCUUCAAUGGAAGAUACAAGAGGAAAAAGAAUGUUUCCAGCCAGGAGUUCUUAUAAAAUGUAAAGACUUCAUCCAUCAGAACCCUAUCCAAGAGGACCCUUGGCAAAAUUCCUUUUUAUGGUCCUGGAGCAGAGUGACACCUGUCAUACAUUUAAUGGAUUUCCCCCCUUCUCCCUUAAAAAAAAGAGAAUAGAAACAUGAAACUCUUAGAACUAAUUUUAUCAACACUGUCUUUUUUUUUUUUUUUUUAAAGUCUCAUUUAUUUAUUUGAAAGGCAGAGUUAGAGAGAAAGUCAGAUACAGUUCUUCCAUCAGCGUUUCACUCUGCAGAUGACUGCAUUGGCUGGGCCUGGGCCAGGUGGAAGCCAAGAGCCAGGAGCCAGGAGCUUCUUCCGGGUCUCCCACACGAAUGCCAGAGGCCCAGGCACAUUAGCAGGGAGGUGGAUCAGGGACUUGAACUGCAGCUCCUAUGAGAUGCUGGCCCUGCAGGCUGCAGCUUAGGCCUCUGCUCCCCAGUGCUGGCCCCUCAGAUUUGUCUUACCAAGAUUCAUCUGCAAUUUUCUCAGAAAAAAGUUCAUAUUUUUUUAAAAAUAAAUUUAAUUUAUUUUAUGUAUUUGAAAGCCGAAGUUACAGAGAGGGAGAGAGAAUCUUCCAUCUGCAGGUUCACUACAAUGGCCAUGGCUAGGCCAGGCUCAAUUCAGGAGUCAGAAGCUUCUUCCAGGUCUCCUGUGUGGGCGCAGGGACUCAAGCACUUGGGCUGUUCUCUGACACUUUCCCAGGUGCAUUAGCAGGGAGAUGGAUUGGGAGCAGAGCGGCCGGGACUUGAACUGGUGCUCAUGUGGGAUGCUGGUGCUACUGGCAGUGACUUAACAUGCUGACUUAACAGUGCCUGCCCCAAAAGUUCACAUUCUCACCACAAAUGGGGCGUAUAAAGCUCACAAUGUUCCAAGAGACAUAAUU